RNAcentral lists this ribosomal RNA (633 nucleotides) under Triticum aestivum (bread wheat). RNAcentral describes it as "partial small subunit ribosomal RNA". Lineage: Eukaryota; Viridiplantae; Streptophyta; Magnoliopsida; Poales; Poaceae. The record is from RNAcentral.
AUGACCCGACUUGCUUUCCUGAAUGCACGAACAAACAUCUGCUCUGUAUGCACGGCAAAAUUUAGUUUCAUUCAAUGCCGUCACAUGACCCCCUUACAGGGAAGGAUCCUCGACCAUCAUGCCGCGUCCCUCGACCAGAAUCUCCAUCAAAUCUUGUCGCAUUGCAACUUUCAGAGUAACGUCCACUGUCGCCGGCGGAGGAAAAUCAUCCGCCGAGCCGUCCAAUGUCAGGUUCACCGGCGAAAGAAGAACAUCCGUCGAGCCGUCCAUCGUCUGAGGCGGCUACACCAGAGAUGCCCGUGCAUUAAUCUGUGCAAAUAUUGCCAAUUCAGACUAAACCGUGUGUUGCAGCUGCCAGAGGCGUCCGAUCGUACUCAGGUGGAGUCCAAGGAGGUUCGGCUCUUAGACAUGCCAGCAAUCACUGUCAACGACACUGACGUGCAGAUUGAUUUGGUUGUCUAUCUGAUGCAUAAUGAUGCUGCUAGACUAGAGGCGGUGGUCACUGAUGAGGUGAAAUGGAACCAGAUUCACAUAAAGAGAUCAAAGUCGAUGAGACAUAUGAUUAUCUCCCACAAGGGAGCCCAAUCGGUGGAAGGUGAUUUGUCAAAGAGAAUUCUAGCAGCCAACAGUUAA